Molecule: long non-coding RNA, 1382 nt
Organism: Gasterosteus aculeatus aculeatus (three-spined stickleback)
Lineage: Eukaryota; Metazoa; Chordata; Actinopteri; Perciformes; Gasterosteidae
Source: RefSeq, a predicted model, not a curated record
CGAAAGCGCCGUGCUAAUCGGCCUUGUCUCUGGCUGUAAUUAUCGACCCUUUAGUACAAGCAGGCUUCUGCCUCUCACUUAUUAUAUUGUGUCUCUUUUGUGUUUUGCUUUUCUCAUCUGUUUUUUGUUCCUCUUUCUGUCUUUUGAUUCCAGCGCAUUGAAGAAGAACGGGCCUGAUUGUCUCGCCUGAGUCCCCAGGAAUCCUCUUGAGAGGAGCAGGCCCCUAAGUUCCAGGUUUCUGAAGCUCCUGGAGAUAUGAGCACCUGAUUGGUGCUUUUCUUGGAAGAUGAACACCUGUCGUCCCUGGCCGUACAUCCCUCCGGCCCAUCGUCUCCCCAGCCGCCCCGCAGGGGAGGAAAGGCGGCGUGAUAAACGAGAGGCGCUGGCGAACACCCAAGGCAGUGAUAUCUGAUCCGCCUCCCACAUCCCAGAACAGGCAGACGGACAACGAAGGCGGCACAAAAAAAAAAAAAGCUAAAUAUGUCACAUCUCUGCCGCUUUUGAAACAAGUGAUGAGAGAUGAUGAGUUUCCUGUUACCCCGACUGCUCCCCCCUCCUAUUUGGAUUGAGGAGCUGAGCCACUUUAAUAGCGAUAUCGGGAGGAGGGGCGGCUGUGAGGAAACAACAAGGCCUAACGAAAGAUUUAAGCCUUUAGCCACGCUAAAUGCUCAAUGAUCACAUCCGGUAACACAAGUUUCAUGAGUCUACCCGACACAGCACAAAGAUCGACGGAAUGAAUGCAGCUUGUUAUGCAAAGGAUUGAAGGCAGUGAUCUACUUCUCCGUCUUGCUGUUUGGAUACGGAGUAUAACACUUAUGCAUUAGCUGAGGGGGUUGGGGGGGUGGAAACAAAGGAAAGUCUGAGGAUAUCUCAGGAAACGUGUUCACGCGGUAAUGCGGCAGAGGCCGCGGCGAUUAAGUGGGAAACAAAUACAGUAACAUGAGCGUCAGUAAGUGAGUGUUGUUUUUCUUCUUCUCUUCCUGUGUUUACAGAGAAUGUCCUUCAGACUGGAUCUAAGCAGCUGUGUCAGCAAGCGUUCUGCCUGCAGAGGGGGCUUUGAUCAACACACUGACGCCCUACAAGCUGCUCUGCUGCUGACCCCGACCUCUGACCUCUGUGUGGCCAAAGGAACACACGGCGUGUCUGUGGGGAUCGUCGAGGUGUUGCACAAUUUGACUUUUGUCCUUCAGUUUUUGAUGAUUAAAACUGAGACUGUAGGCUACUUACAAUAUGCGGUGCACUAGUUUUAUAAUGCAGCAAAUCUUAACCAGACAAAAAAAGACAUGAAUAUUUAAAGCGUAUGUUUAAUCUCUAAAUCAGUACUACUUCCUAGAUGCAUUAGAUGCAUGAACUGUUUAAUCAAUAAAUUUGCACAAGCUCUA